RNAcentral lists this ribosomal RNA (1830 nucleotides) under Shigella flexneri. RNAcentral describes it as "partial 23S ribosomal RNA". It matches the Rfam family "Bacterial large subunit ribosomal RNA", at positions 1107 to 2915 of the family's 2925-position model. Lineage: Bacteria; Pseudomonadati; Pseudomonadota; Gammaproteobacteria; Enterobacterales; Enterobacteriaceae. The record is from RNAcentral.
UAGAAGCAGCCAUCAUUUAAAGAAAGCGUAAUAGCUCACUGGUCGAGUCGGCCUGCGCGGAAGAUGUAACGGGGCUAAACCAUGCACCGAAGCUGCGGCAGCGACGCUUAUGCGUUGUUGGGUAGGGGAGCGUUCUGUAAGCCUGUGAAGGUGUACUGUGAGGUAUGCUGGAGGUAUCAGAAGUGCGAAUGCUGACAUAAGUAACGAUAAAGCGGGUGAAAAGCCCGCUCGCCGGAAGACCAAGGGUUCCUGUCCAACGUUAAUCGGGGCAGGGUGAGUCGACCCCUAAGGCGAGGCCGAAAGGCGUAGUCGAUGGGAAACAGGUUAAUAUUCCUGUACUUGGUGUUACUGCGAAGGGGGGACGGAGAAGGCUAUGUUGGCCGGGCGACGGUUGUCCCGGUUUAAGCGUGUAGGCUGGUUUUCCAGGCAAAUCCGGAAAAUCAAGGCCGAGGCGUGAUGACGAGGCACUACGGUGCUGAAGCAACAAAUGCCCUGCUUCCAGGAAAAGCCUCUAAGCAUCAGGUAACAUCAAAUCGUACCCCAAACCGACACAGGUGGUCAGGUAGAGAAUACCAAGGCGCUUGAGAGAACUCGGGUGAAGGAACUAGGCAAAAUGGUGCCGUAACUUCGGGAGAAGGCACGCUGAUACGUAGGUGAAGCGACUUGCUCGUGGAGCUGAAAUCAGUCGAAGAUACCAGCUGGCUGCAACUGUUUAUUAAAAACACAGCACUGUGCAAACACGAAAGUGGACGUAUACGGUGUGACGCCUGCCCGGUGCCGGAAGGUUAAUUGAUGGGGUUAGCGCAAGCGAAGCUCUUGAUCGAAGCCCCGGUAAACGGCGGCCGUAACUAUAACGGUCCUAAGGUAGCGAAAUUCCUUGUCGGGUAAGUUCCGACCUGCACGAAUGGCGUAAUGAUGGCCAGGCUGUCUCCACCCGAGACUCAGUGAAAUUGAACUCGCUGUGAAGAUGCAGUGUACCCGCGGCAAGACGGAAAGACCCCGUGAACCUUUACUAUAGCUUGACACUGAACAUUGAGCCUUGAUGUGUAGGAUAGGUGGGAGGCUUUGAAGUGUGGACGCCAGUCUGCAUGGAGCCGACCUUGAAAUACCACCCUUUAAUGUUUGAUGUUCUAACGUGGACCCGUGAUCCGGGUUGCGGACAGUGUCUGGUGGGUAGUUUGACUGGGGCGGUCUCCUCCUAAAGAGUAACGGAGGAGCACGAAGGUUGGCUAAUCCUGGUCGGACAUCAGGAGGUUAGUGCAAUGGCAUAAGCCAGCUUGACUGCGAGCGUGACGGCGCGAGCAGGUGCGAAAGCAGGUCAUAGUGAUCCGGUGGUUCUGAAUGGAAGGGCCAUCGCUCAACGGAUAAAAGGUACUCCGGGGAUAACAGGCUGAUACCGCCCAAGAGUUCAUAUCGACGGCGGUGUUUGGCACCUCGAUGUCGGCUCAUCACAUCCUGGGGCUGAAGUAGGUCCCAAGGGUAUGGCUGUUCGCCAUUUAAAGUGGUACGCGAGCUGGGUUUAGAACGUCGUGAGACAGUUCGGUCCCUAUCUGCCGUGGGCGCUGGAGAACUGAGGGGGGCUGCUCCUAGUACGAGAGGACCGGAGUGGACGCAUCACUGGUGUUCGGGUUGUCAUGCCAAUGGCACUGCCCGGUAGCUAAAUGCGGAAGAGAUAAGUGCUGAAAGCAUCUAAGCACGAAACUUGCCCCGAGAUGAGUUCUCCCUGACCCUUUAAGGGUCCUGAAGGAACGUUGAAGACGACGACGUUGAUAGGCCGGGUGUGUAAGCGCAGCGAUGCGUUGAGCUAACCGGUACUAAUGAACCGUGAGG